AUUUUAAAAAAGCAUGUAUUUGAAUUUGAACAUGGUCCCCUCCUCUUGCUGGCAGGUUCAGCUGUUACUAUCAUGUUUCCAUAGAAGGUUAGUUUAAAGUUUUACCGGCCUCUUUCCUUUUCUUAGCAUCAAUGUUUGUUUUUCUUCCUAACUGCUAAACCUUCACUACCUCAUUGUGGAAGUUGCAGAGAGUUCAUGGUUUUGCCAAGCACUCUUGAAUACCUGAGGCUCUCAAUGAAAAUAGCAUCUGAAUUCUCAUUAAACAAGAUAAUGAUUUGAAGAAUUGAACUGUGUCUGGCAAGCUUCAGAUCCAAAUAAUAUUGAUUUUAUUCAUAAGUGGUUAGUUAGUUAACCUUGUAAUGAAGAGUGACACAAUAAUUGUUUUAAUAAGAAGUGGAUAUUGCAAAGUGCAGUAGCUCAAUAAUCGAUUUUGAUCCACUUAGAGAUAUAAGAGAUUCUGAGUUUCAUGA
Arachis ipaensis is the source of this 470-nucleotide non-coding RNA. NCBI's taxonomy places the organism in Eukaryota, Viridiplantae, Streptophyta, Magnoliopsida, Fabales, Fabaceae. The record is from RefSeq and is a predicted model, not a curated record.